RNAcentral lists this ribosomal RNA (292 nucleotides) under uncultured bacterium. RNAcentral describes it as "partial 16S ribosomal RNA". The record is from RNAcentral.
GGACUACUGGGGUUUCUAAUCCUGUUUGCUCCCCACGCUUUCGCACCUCAGCGUCAAUAUUGGCCCAGGUCGCCGCCUUCGCCACUGGUGUUCCUCCCGAUAUCUACGAAUUUCACCUCUACACCGGGAAUUCCGCGACCCUCUUCCAUAUUCAAGUCCGGGAGUUUCGAAUGCACUUCCUCGGUUGAGCCGAGGGAUUUCACACCCGACUUUCCGGACCGCCUACGUGCGCUUUACGCCCAAUGAUUCCGAGCAACGUUUGCACCCUCCGUAUUACCGCGGCGGCUGGCAC